RNAcentral lists this ribosomal RNA (476 nucleotides) under uncultured bacterium. Its description in RNAcentral is "bacterial SSU rRNA". It matches the Rfam family "Bacterial small subunit ribosomal RNA", at positions 8 to 493 of the family's 1533-position model. The record is from RNAcentral.
AGAGUUUGAUCCUGGCUCAGGACGAACGCUGGCGGCGUGCCUAACACAUGCAAGUCGAACGCGCUCCAUUCGGUAGCAAUACCGAUGAAGAGUGAGUGGCGAACGGGUGAGUAGCACGUGAGCAACCUACCCCGAAGACUGGGACAACACCGGGAAACCGGUGCUAAUACCGGAUAUCCCUAUCGGAUCGCAUGGUCUGAUAAGGAAAUGGAUUCCGCUUCGGGAGGGGCUCGCGGCCUAUCAGCUAGUUGGUGAGGUAAUAGCUCACCAAGGCAUCGACGGGUAGCUGGUCUGAGAGGACGAUCAGCCACACUGGGACUGAGACACGGCCCAGACUCCUACGGGAGGCAGCAGUGGGGAAUCUUGCGCAAUGGGCGAAAGCCUGACGCAGCAACGCCGCGUGGAGGACGAAGGCUUUCUGAGUUGUAAACUCCUUUCAGCAGGGACGAUUGUGACGGUACCUGCAGAAGAAGCAC